Molecule: long non-coding RNA, 798 nt
Organism: Oreochromis aureus
Lineage: Eukaryota; Metazoa; Chordata; Actinopteri; Cichliformes; Cichlidae
Source: Ensembl
CUUUGUUAUUCUUUCUUGUUUUCACUUUAUUUGUAUAAAUGUAUUUUCAUUCUUUUAUUUUGAAAAGCAACAUUUAUUUUGAAAAAAAGGAAGUGUGAUCCUCCAGCAAACUUUAUUUUUCCUGUUGCCGGAUCACAAGGGAUAAAUGCCUUUUUCAUUGGUUGAAGGUGGUUUUAGCCCCGUCUUCCAAAACACCAGACCAUCAUUUCACAUGAGCUAGGUCUUUUCGCACGUGGAAGUAGAUGAGACAGGCCACGGAUAGCUCGUGCGGAAUUUUAUAUCAUUUUGCUCCUUGUCUCAGAGUGGGAGGGAUUUGAAGCACAAAGGGAGGAGCUUGUUGUUUGGUUGGCUGAUAUGGAUGUCCACCUGGGUGAGGCUGACCAGCUGACAGGAAACACCUGUGAAAAACUGAAACAACUGCAGGUGUGGGGUUGUUUUGAUAUGACAUAUAUUUGAUAUGAUACAUACGUCAGAGACAUUGUCCUAAACUGGACAAACAAAGAACCAUGAGUCCAAAAUGAAACAUACCUUACACAAGCUGCAGAGUAUGAAGGUGUGCCCCGUGCAGAAGUAAUAGAUGAAGAUCUGACAGAAGACCAACAACAAAAUCACCAUGUCAUGAAGGCUGUGGACAGGAGUUACUCAUAUCAUGUGAGGGUGAAGACACAACACUGCUUGAUAAGAAUGUUAAGGUGUGCUGUGUUUUGGUGAAUAUGUGCCCCAGUGUGGUUGUCAAACCAGGGCCAAAUGAAACUUGCUCUUGUUGAAUAUUCAUAAAACUGCUGUGUUGCAUGUACA